Molecule: long non-coding RNA, 1520 nt
Organism: Vespula vulgaris
Lineage: Eukaryota; Metazoa; Arthropoda; Insecta; Hymenoptera; Vespidae
Exons: 6
Source: RefSeq, a predicted model, not a curated record
UUCCAAUCAACUACUUGUACGCUAAUGGCGUAAUGUAUAAUUGGAAUUGAAUUAUUUCUGGAUUUACAAAGAAAAACAGCAAGACUUGCCGCAGCCAAAAGUAUAUCAACCGCUUUUAUAGCUUCGCAAAAGAAAGAAUCAUCAUCCUGGACAAUCAAGAACCAAUGGAUCAGAUUUUUUUCACCAAAACAUUUUUGUAUGCAUUGAAAAAGAAGUCAAAGUUACUUCUAUGAAAGAAUUACGAAACUUCUUAAUUUCUGUUAUCGUAUUUUGUUGGAGAUAGUUCUUGAUCGAUAAAAAAAGAGGCUAUACGCGAAGCGUGUGACGUACAGUAUGAAGAAAAGAAUUGUGAAGCUGUGACAGAUGAAUGUCCAAAAAAUAAUCUUUUAUAGGACCAAAUCUUUCUGUAAUAAUUGGAGCAUUUAAACCCGCAAAAAUUGUCGGUAUUCCCAGAGGUUUGAAAAAACUUGUUUCCUCAAAAAUGAAGAGUCUACGGUACACAGAACUUAUAUAUUAUAUUAUAUAGAAAUCCUUGGAAUGCGCCACUUCUGAGUCUAUUAAAAGUCUUUACAAUCAAUUACUUACCAUACAUGGCAGUAGUGUAAUAUAAAUUUGAAUGGAAUUAUUUCAGGACUUAGAAAGAAGAAAGGUUGCUCAUUACUGUCUACACAAUAUAAUAAACCUCAAGCAAUACCCAAGGAAAGACUACUAUAUACUUUGUGUAUGUGUGCGUGGGUGUGUAUAUUAUGUAUCUAGUUAUGUACAUAUGUAUCUAUUUACAAACGUAUGUUUAUAUGGGAUCUUCCAACAUUCCACCUUGUUGGUUGCCGAAAGACUGAUCUCAUACGAUAUUCGACAGAAAGUAAAUAACAUAAGGUGUAUUUAGAUAUUUCACCUUAUAUAGAAACAUAUAAACAUUGUAAUAAUUUUUGCUUUGUAUAUGUCAGCUAGUAAAUGGUAUAAACAUUCUCUUUUUCUUUCAGUGUAAUAAUAUUAUAUAUAUAUAUAUAUAUAUAUAUAUAUAUAUAUAUAUAUAUUAAAAUUUUUAUAAUUUAAUUAGUUAAUUAAUCAAAAUCAAAAAAUAAAAGAAAGCAACAGGAAUAGAAAAAUACGAGACCUCAUCGAAAACUCCGUUUGUUAGAAAACAAUGUACUUUCAUCUCUCUCUCUCUCUCUCUCUCUCUUCCUCGCUCUGUUUUGCUAUUUUUUUCUUAAUUUUUCUGUAUGCACGUGUACGCGUAUGUACGUAAUACGUAUAUGCCUUUUAACAAAUGUAAUAUCGUUUGGUAUCGAUAUAUUUUAUAUAUAGAAAGAUCGUCGACGAUCGAACGUGAUGCGUGUACCUGAUCGUGACACCCUUAUUUCAAUAUUGUAAAUUUAAUUUGUCAACGAGGUAUAAACUCUAUAUUCAUUUAAAUACACAUACAUUGAUAUGUGUAUGAAUAAUGCAUAUUAAUCAUAAUACGAAUUAAAUGACACGUUUAAUUGAAAUCCCACAUUAAAAUUUACAUUGUACUAGAU